AUUGAACGCUGGCGGCAGGCCUAACACAUGCAAGUCGAACGGUAACAGGAAACAGCUUGCUGUUUCGCUGACGAGUGGCGGACGGGUGAGUAAUGUCUGGGAAACUGCCUGAUGGAGGGGGAUAACUACUGGAAACGGUAGCUAAUACCGCAUAACGUCGCAAGACCAAAGAGGGGGACCCUCGGGCCUCUUGCCAUCGGAUGUGCCCAGAUGGGAUUAGCUUGUUGGUGGGGUAACGGCUCACCAAGGCGACGAUCCCUAGCUGGUCUGAGAGGAUGACCAGCCACACUGGAACUGAGACACGGUCCAGGACUCCUACGGGAGCAGCAGUGGGAAUAUUGCACAAUGGGCGCAAGCCUGAUGCAGCCAUGCCCG
This 375-nucleotide ribosomal RNA is filed under the name uncultured bacterium. RNAcentral describes it as "bacterial SSU rRNA". It matches the Rfam family "Bacterial small subunit ribosomal RNA", at positions 30 to 399 of the family's 1533-position model. The record is from RNAcentral.